RNAcentral lists this ribosomal RNA (386 nucleotides) under uncultured bacterium. RNAcentral describes it as "bacterial SSU rRNA". It matches the Rfam family "Bacterial small subunit ribosomal RNA", at positions 29 to 417 of the family's 1533-position model. The record is from RNAcentral.
AUUGAACGCUGGCGGCAUGCCUUACACAUGCAAGUCGAACGGUAACGCGGGGCAACCUGGCGACGAGUGGCGAACGGGUGAGUAAUACAUCGGAACGUGCCCAGUAGUGGGGGAUAGCCCGGCGAAAAGCCGGAUUAAUACCGCAUACGACCUACGGGUGAAAGCAGGGGAUCGCAAGACCUUGCGCUAUUGGAGCGGCCGAUGUCAGAUUAGGUUGUUGGUGGGGUAAAAGCCUACCAAGCCGACGAUCUGUAGCUGGUCUGAGAGGACGACCAGCCACACUGGGACUGAGACACGGCCCAGACUCCUACGGGAGGCAGCAGUGGGGAAUUUUGGACAAUGGGCGCAAGCCUGAUCCAGCCAUGCCGCGUGCGGGAAGAAGGGCC